AGGAGUGCUGCAUGGCCAUUCCUCUUUCUCAAAUUGUGUUCAUUGAAGAGCAGGCAGCUGGAAUUGGGAAGAGUGCCAAAAUAGUGGUUCAUCUUCACCCAGCUCCUCCUAACAAAGAACCUGGCCCAUUCCAGAGUAGAAGAAUUCCUAUAUCAAACUCUCCUUCAAAGAACAUGGCCAGAUUGAGUUUUACAGGUGUUUAUCAGAGGAAAUGACACAGAGAAGAUGGGAGAAUAUGCCAUUACAAACAAAUAGAGGACCCCAGCCGGGCUGUAGGAAUUGUAGGAAUUGAAAGGACACUGGAAGAAAAAAGAAAAGAAACUGACAAAAACAUUUCUGAGGCAAUUUGCGGGGGCUGACAGCGCACCACAGCAUCGCCACUCUCUUUGCUACCCAGAAGGCGCUGUCACACUUCUCUUCAGCACUGUCUCUUACCAUCCUCUUUGUGUCGACACUGCUGGAGAUGGCAUGGAACACCUAAUUUUCAUGGAGUUGCACUGCUCAAAGGAGUCCCCACAAACCUUGUGCUCUACUGUCCUGCAGAUCAUUGCUGUCUUCAGUAGAGAGUCUGCCUCUCUUUUCUGUGACAGGCCCUGUAUCGAGGCUGUGGCUGCUAUGGUGAUACCCCAGACACAAGCACACAGAGGCAUUAUCUGCAGGGGGAUAAAUGUCUUGUACAUAUGGUCUACGUGGCCCCUGACUUAUGUUGGGGUCAGGGAAGGCUUGUUAGCAGCAGAAACAAGGAAGACAAGGCCUGAAAGAGGAGCAGGCACUAGCAGAUGGCCAGCAGGGAUAAGAGGAACUCAGGUACAGAGAAUGGAAUAUAUAGAGGCACAGACUCAAGGGUAUUGAAAUGGAAAAUUCAAGCACAUAUUAGUAGUUACAGAAACUAAUAACCAAAGUAAUGACUGAAAGUCAGUAAGAUAUAAUGCUUUAAAAGGGUUUAAGUUGGUUUAAGAGGGUUUUAAAACAUGGCAUUUUUCUUAAAAUUGGAGUGGAAGUUUCACCGUGGGUAAGAUGGGGGAUAGAAGGUUCUGUAAACUGGCAGAUGAAAUAAUAUAAUAGGUAUGUGCAGCUAUUUUUGCAUUAAUCCAUAUUGUAGGUAGUUUCUCCACUCAUUUAUCGGAUAGUUUGCUAAAUCCAAAUUUUAGAAUAAUAGAAAUAAAAGUGAGGAAACUUCUGUUUGUGCUUUAUAAUUACUUAAAAUAUUUUCUAGGCAGUUCUUCUAGGACACUAAGAUAUUUACUAUAUUUAUUUUUUAUUGACUGUAUUUAUAAACAAUAAGAACUAAUGUAUAUAUUCUGUAUGAACUCACUCCAUUAUUUUAGUACGUUUUUCUAUGAAAAGAUAAUAUAAUAAAGUGAUUUAUCAUAUAAAAA
RNA transcript from Carlito syrichta (Philippine tarsier), 1379 nucleotides. RefSeq lists it as uncharacterized. The record is from RefSeq and is a predicted model, not a curated record. The transcript has 6 exons. Lineage: Eukaryota; Metazoa; Chordata; Mammalia; Primates; Tarsiidae.